RNAcentral lists this long non-coding RNA (918 nucleotides) under Fragaria vesca (wild strawberry). RNAcentral describes it as "long non-coding RNA (FVES_LNC000360)". The record is from RNAcentral. Lineage: Eukaryota; Viridiplantae; Streptophyta; Magnoliopsida; Rosales; Rosaceae.
AGCGAAGCCGACAAAGAAGAAGAGAGGCCCCGUCACAGGGAAGGCUCUCGAGAAGAUCGUGGGUACCGUGGGGAGGAUCGUCAUCAAUACUGACGGGGAUGGCCACAUAGUAUCGGGCGGGAAGUCGAGGACGUACUCCGGCCGCGUGGGAGCGCUCAUUAGGGAUAGAGUCCCUAUGUUGUGGUCAGACUGGGGCGAGGUCCCGCAGGAGGUUAAGGACAUGGUCCACAACGCGAUGUCGGUGAGUUUACAAAAUAAUAUUAUGCAUUACAUUGUUGAUUUCUCGAAAAACUAAACUAAUAAACGGUUAAAUACAGGUGUGGUUUGAGGUUCCCGAGCACCUUAAGGACAGCUGGGCCGACGUUGUGCAUGGGGGAAGGUACGUUGGGAAGUUAAUGAAAAACAAAAUUGAAUGUGAUAUUAAUAAUAUUUCUAAUAUUUUUGUUGUGUCUGUAGGUACAAGGAGUGGAAGAACGAGUUGCGGACCCAUUGGACUACGCACGGGAACGCACGUUCUGGUACCCCUGCUGAGUUCCAGUACAGGGAGUACGAGUGGCGUUGGCUUCUGACAUCAGAAUUCAACAACCCUCGUAAACAGGUAUUUAAAAAAUUAAUUAGUUAAUUUGUCAUUAAGUACGUCCGUUUUUAAAUAUUUUACUAAUAAUUUAUUUUUUCUUUGAAGGCCGUUUCCCGAGCGAACUCUCAGAACCGGCAACGCAACACAAGGAACCAUCAUGGCGGUUCUAGACCGUUCGCUGUCUUCAUGGACGAGGCGGCCAGGGAACAUCCAGAGGUCAACCCGUACGUCUAUACGUACGAGAAGCAUAUCCUGACUCCCAGGAGGAUAUUGUAAGUCAUUCUACGUUUUUAAAUUUNNNNNNNNNNNNNNNNNNNNGCCGCCGCAACCUCCGCCGCAAC